Molecule: ribosomal RNA, 408 nt
Filed under: bacterium
Lineage: Bacteria
Description: bacterial SSU rRNA
Rfam family: Bacterial small subunit ribosomal RNA
Source: RNAcentral
GUGGGGAAUAUUGGGCAAUGGGGGCAACCCUGACCCAGCAACGCCGCGUGAAGGAAGAAGGUUUUCGGAUUGUAAACUUCUGUCCUUGGGGACGAAACAAAUGACGGUACCCAAGGAGGAAGCCCCGGCUAACUACGUGCCAGCAGCCGCGGUAAUACGUAGGGGGCAAGCGUUGUCCGGAAUUACUGGGCGUAAAGGGAGCGCAGGCGGUCUUUUAAGUAGGAUGUGAAAUACCCGGGCUUAACCUGGGGGGUGCAUCCUAAACUGGGGGACUUGAGUGUGGGAGAGGAAAGUGGAAUUCCUAGUGUAGCGGUGAAAUGCGUAGAUAUUAGGAGGAACACCAGUGGCGAAGGCGGCUUUCUGGACCAUAACUGACGCUGAGGCUCGAAAGCGUGGGGAGCAAACAGG